This is a long non-coding RNA of Tachysurus fulvidraco (yellow catfish), 2338 nucleotides long. RefSeq lists it as uncharacterized. The transcript has 3 exons. Lineage: Eukaryota; Metazoa; Chordata; Actinopteri; Siluriformes; Bagridae. The record is from RefSeq and is a predicted model, not a curated record.
UGUAUCGGUUCAGUAAUUCACGCAUGCGCAGUAUCAACAGGUCGCGCUCACAGUUCUCUCAGCACAACAUGUCAGUUCAGUGUACAGGAGUUACAUAUAACUCCGGGAUAUUAGUUUAUUUAGAGUCAGACCGACUGUCAGACGACCGAAAGUGUGUAACUUUAGUAACUUGUGGAUCAGCGCUGACUCAAGACGCAAACUGUUUAGAACGAAUCAGUCCGAUUUGGUGAACCGGUUCAUCCAGUUCACUAAAAAGAACCGGUUCAAAAGAAUGAUUCGUUCACGAACUGGCCAUCACUAAUGUUCACAUGUGCCCCUUUUUCUUGGUUAGCUGUUGGUUUUGUCUCUGCAUGUGUUCAGGGCAAUAGCGUGGAUCACAUACUUUUGUAAGUUUUUUUUAUUUUUUUUUGCACACCGGUACUGGAUUGUCAGAGUUUAGCAGAGUUGGUAUUGUUUUGCACCCUUGGUAAAGCGGAGCGAGUUUCACGGUGUUAAACGGUGAUGACUGGUGGAUGCUUCAUGUGGAAGAGUAUGACUCGUGAACUGAAGACGUGUCCCAAUAAAUGAUCUACACUCGUUUAGAGACUCUCUGUUCAUUUAUCGAUGCCAAGGGCUGCUACAAGGACCACUUCGUAAAUGAAGGGCCAAAAACAUGGCGGGGGACUCCACCCAUCCCUCCUACAACAUCUUUCAGCUUCUACCAUCAGGUAGAAGGUACAGGAGCAUCAGAGCCCGCUCUGCUAGACUGUGGAACAGUUUCUUCCCCAAGCUGCUAGAGCCCUGAACUCAAACCACCACUACCACCCCCUGAAUAUACACAGACGUCCUGUGAUGUGACCCACCUGACUGCCACCAGUCACACUCUCCUCAGCAUUAGCACACUGACACAUCAAAAAUGUUUAAAUGUUUACAUGCUCAUGGUGCACACCACAUGCACUAUUCUGCUACCAGCUGCUGACCUUGAAUGUCUCCUGUUGCAUGUGCACAAUAUCAAGGAAGCAUUGUAGUCUCCAUACCUAUAUUUACUGCUUGAGUGUAUCUCUUGUGUAUUUAAUUCUAAAUAUCUUGUUUAAUUGUAUAAUGUCUGUAUGGAUGUUGCACCGUUUGACCUGUGAGACACGACAUCUCGUUCCACUGCAUGUCUCAACAUGUAGUGAAAUGACAAAUAAAGAAACUUGAACUUGUACUUGAACUUGAACUACAUAGCCAAAGUCAAAAGCCAAAAGUUAUGGUGUUAUUAAAUGGUAAAAGUGGACACCAAAAUUUUAUGCAUGAUGUAAUGAUGUCAGUCUUGAAUCAGUUCAUGUGUGUGUGUAUUCUCUACAAACAGUGUGUCUAAUGAAUGCAGUCAUUAAUAAACUAAUAUUCACAAAGACCAAAUCAAUAAAUGGGGCGUGAAACAGGACGUGACCACACGCUGUCUGCUCCUCGGUGCGCAAACCGUGGAUUUUUGAAAGCACUUUGAAACGGUGAGUGUAAAUAUCUAAAAAAUCUUUCUGACAAUAAAUGAUUACCCUAAAAAUGAUGUUAGGUAAAUGUUAAUAAGUUAAAUUAGUGUAAAUGUGACGAUUGAUGCAAAUUUUUUCUAAUUUUCUGUCCAUUCACAGUAACAUGAGCUAUUUCUAUCAGGUCACGUUUAAUAACAUUAGCCAGUGUUACUGUAUAUAUUCCCAGUUACAACAUUUGUAUUUCGCUAGCAUAAGUUUUUUUUCCAGUGGUUCAUAUAAGCAUGUGUAAGUUAUGUAUGUACGUUACACGUGCUUGUCGCUAACGCUAACAUAUAUCUCUGGUGUAAUAAAACUUAAUACACAACUUAAACUGUUUAAAAAGUGUAGUCAUUAGCAGAUAUUCAUUAACGUUUUACAGUGAAAGUGAUUUGCUAAUUGAAACGUUUUCUUAUGCUCUGUUUUCACAGGUUAUUUUGAAGAUGCAGUGGAAGUUUUGUGAAUUUUUAUGUGACAAACGAGAUUACUUAUUAAAACAUUAUAGUUAAUUGCCAUCAGGGCUAAGCUAGCUUCAGAAGCCAUGCCUGUUUUUUGUUCUCAACAUGCAAAGCGUGAAUCUUUGAACAGAUUCUUGUUCCGAUUGUCCAGUCAGUGCAGUAAGUACUCUUAACAUUUACCACUGUAUGUUACAUCUGCAUGUUGGUGCUCUAUUGAUAUGAGUUAACAGUUAUCCACUAACCAGCGUGUGCAGGAGUGUGUGCAGGAGUGUGUGCAUGUGCUCUUUUCCCUUUAUUUUUAUCCAGUUUAAUGCUUUAUGGUUGAACACUGUAUUUCCUCUAAACACUGUAUUGUUAACAUUGUGAACUUGAGUAUAUUGCAGUGUUACCUGUUUU